This 119-nucleotide microRNA precursor is filed under the name Pelobates cultripes (western spadefoot toad). The record is from RNAcentral. Lineage: Eukaryota; Metazoa; Chordata; Amphibia; Anura; Pelobatidae.
GGGCCCUGCUCAAUGAGCUUGCAUGCUAGAGGGAGUGGGGUAAAAUGACACAAAAGGUGACACAAAAGGUGUCAUUUUAACCCACUCCCUCUAGCAUGUAAGCUCAUUGAGCAGGGCCC